CUUGACCUCAAAUCGGGUGAGACUACCCGCUGAACUUAAGCAUAUCAAUAAGCGGAGGAAAAGAAACUAACAAGGAUUCCCCUAGUAACUGCGAGUGAAGCGGGAAAAGCUCAAAUUUGAAAUCUGGCGGCUCCGCCGUCCGAGUUGUAUUCCGGAGAA
Molecule: ribosomal RNA, 159 nt
Filed under: uncultured Lactarius
Lineage: Eukaryota; Fungi; Basidiomycota; Agaricomycetes; Russulales; Russulaceae
Description: partial 28S ribosomal RNA
Rfam family: Eukaryotic large subunit ribosomal RNA
Source: RNAcentral